AACCCAAGUGUUAAGCUUAGUUCAAGGAUGCUUCCCUGUUCUGGUAAUUAAAAUGUGUUACUGUAAAACAUGGACUGAGCAAGAAAAUUGAGUAGAAAGUAGUACUCUAUUCAUUUCCUUUCCAGCUACAAAU
Suncus etruscus (white-toothed pygmy shrew) is the source of this 133-nucleotide small nucleolar RNA. Lineage: Eukaryota; Metazoa; Chordata; Mammalia; Eulipotyphla; Soricidae. The record is from RefSeq and is a predicted model, not a curated record.